Molecule: ribosomal RNA, 826 nt
Filed under: Leucauge argentina
Lineage: Eukaryota; Metazoa; Arthropoda; Arachnida; Araneae; Tetragnathidae
Description: SSU rRNA
Rfam family: Eukaryotic small subunit ribosomal RNA
Source: RNAcentral
CCAAGGAAGGCAGCAGGCGCGCAAAUUACCCACUCCCGGCACGGGGAGGUAGUGACGAAAAAUAACAAUACGGGACUCUUUUGAGACCCCGUAAUUGGAAUGAGAACACUCUAAACACUUUACCGAGUACCCAUUGGAGGAAAAGUCUGGUGCCAGCACCCGCGGUAACUCCAGCUCCAAUAGCGUAUAUUAAAGUUGUUGCGGUUAAAAAGCUCGUAGUUGGAUCUCAGUUCGAGACGGACGGUCCGCCUAUCGGUGGUCACUGUCUGUUCUCAACACCAGCCGGUUUCCCUGGAUGAUCUUCACCGGUUGUCUUGGGUGACCGGCAAGUUUACUUUGAAAAAAUUAGAGUGCUCAAAGCAGGCGCGACGCCUGAAUAAUGGUGCAUGGAAUAAUGGAAUAGGACCUCUGUUCUAUUUUGUUGGUUUUAGGAACACGAGGUAAUGAUUAAGAGGGACAGACGGGGGCAUUCGUAUUGCGACGCUAGAGGUGAAAUUCUUGGACCGCCGCACGACGAACUACUGCGAAAGCAUUUGCCAAGAAUGUUUCCGUUAAUCAAGAACGAAAGUUAGAGGUCCGAAGGCGAUCAGAUACCGCCCUAGUUCUAACCAUAAACGAUGCCAGCCAGCGAUCCGGCUGCGUUCCUCAAAUGACGCGCCGGGCAGCUUCCGGGAAACCAAAGCUUUUGGGUUCCGGGGGGAGUAUGGUUGCAAAGCUUAAACUUGAAGGAAUUGACGGAAGCGCAAACAAGGAAUGGGGCCUGCGGUUCAAUUUGACUCAACACGGUGCAACUCUCCUGGCCCGGACACAGGAAGGAUUGACAGAU